AAAUUAUCGUCAAGAUUUGGUAAUACUAUUGCAACGUCUCGACACGACAGUAUGUUCUUACUAGUACUAAUAUGACAGAUUGAAUGAAAAAUAAUUUUGUCGUUGUGAGUACGACGGAUAGCAUAUCAGCUCUGAGUCAUUGAAAUUUUAAGUACACAUGUAUUUAAGUAUUGGUUGCUUUUGCCACCACGCAAUGAAAAGCAAUUGUUUCGUGAAUAUU
RNAcentral lists this long non-coding RNA (220 nucleotides) under Mytilus galloprovincialis (Mediterranean mussel). Lineage: Eukaryota; Metazoa; Mollusca; Bivalvia; Mytilida; Mytilidae. The record is from RNAcentral.